RNAcentral lists this ribosomal RNA (678 nucleotides) under Salmonella enterica subsp. enterica serovar Give. RNAcentral's name for it is "partial 23S ribosomal RNA". It matches the Rfam family "Bacterial large subunit ribosomal RNA", at positions 2211 to 2883 of the family's 2925-position model. Lineage: Bacteria; Pseudomonadati; Pseudomonadota; Gammaproteobacteria; Enterobacterales; Enterobacteriaceae. The record is from RNAcentral.
UGUUUGAUGUUCUAACGUGGACCCGUGAUCCGGGUUGCGGACAGUGUCUGGUGGGUAGUUUGACUGGGGCGGUCUCCUCCUAAAGAGUAACGGAGGAGCACGAAGGUUGGCUAAUCCUGGUCGGACAUCAGGAGGUUAGUGCAAUGGCAUAAGCCAGCUUGACUGCGAGCGUGACGGCGCGAGCAGGUGCGAAAGCAGGUCAUAGUGAUCCGGUGGUUCUGAAUGGAAGGGCCAUCGCUCAACGGAUAAAAGGUACUCCGGGGAUAACAGGCUGAUACCGCCCAAGAGUUCAUAUCGACGGCGGUGUUUGGCACCUCGAUGUCGGCUCAUCACAUCCUGGGGCUGAAGUAGGUCCCAAGGGUAUGGCUGUUCGCCAUUUAAAGUGGUACGCGAGCUGGGUUUAGAACGUCGUGAGACAGUUCGGUCCCUAUCUGCCGUGGGCGCUGGAGAACUGAGGGGGGCUGCUCCUAGUACGAGAGGACCGGAGUGGACGCAUCACUGGUGUUCGGGUUGUCAUGCCAAUGGCACUGCCCGGUAGCUAAAUGCGGAAGAGAUAAGUGCUGAAAGCAUCUAAGCACGAAACUUGCCCCGAGAUGAGUUCUCCCUGAGACUUAAAGUCUCCUGAAGGAACGUUGAAGACGACGACGUUGAUAGGCCGGGUGUGUAAGCGCAGCGAUG